UGUCUCGGCUUUUCUCAGUUAUUAUAUCACCUAUAAGGGCACACAUUGGAAAAAAUUCAUGCUUUCUUCUCCCCCUUAUCUCUCUGCAUAUAAACUGUCCAACUGCAAUUCUUGAAAGUGACCUCCACCCUAAAGAUGUUAUUGUAACUGAUUAUUGGUCAACUGUGGAGUGCAAGGAUAUCUAAUCUCAAAAAAAGAAGCUUAGUGGUCAACUUACCUUACUCUUUUGCUUGCAAGAAAGGUUGUACAACUCCUAAUGCUCUACAUAGAACUCUACGAGAAAACUGUUGGAUAUGCAGAGAAUAUUUGAUCAUGAGCAGCAACAACAACACACCCGAUGUACUUCCACAGGUGCAUACAGAGGCGACUUGUAGAAUUUUAAGCAUGGGCUGUUUGACAAGAAUAUUGUUCUCUAAAGUGGCACUUGUUUGAUUUCUUGUGUAUCUGUACAUGAGUAGACCAGAACCUUCCUCGGCUAUGCUGUCAUUAGUUGUUAAUUUUUUCUAUGACCACUUCAUCUGUUAGGCUUAGAAUCUUUUGGUGAUCAGUUCAUUGACUCUUUUAACUGUGUUAGUCUUUGUGUGUCUUGGUGAUUAUUCCUUCAAGUAACUUUUGGUGUGAUAUUCCUGAAGCUAGAUGUGCACUUAACUUGUUCAGUUGGAAAAAUUUCAACUACUGUAAAUAGCACUGAACAAUUUUUUAAUUUUGUUAGCACCCUACUCCUAGCAUGGUCUUUCUCAUGUAUUGGAGCUAACACACUUCUUUUGCAUCUUUUGAUGACCUUUAAUGAAAUUUCUCACUUUAUAGAAAAGAUAGUGUGGAGAAACUGCCAACCACCUAUCUAGGCAUGCCUUUGGGUAGCAGUCAUAAAGCCUUGGAAAUAUGGGACGGUAUCCUAGAGAAGAUUGAAAGGAAGCUAUCGAGAAGGCUCAAUAUCUUUCUCGAGGGGGAAGGUUGAUUCUUAUAAGUUCUGUUCUUGACUCUUUACCCACUUCUGUGAUGUCCUUAUUCCCAAUUCCAGCAAAAGUAGAAGAACAUUGGACAAGUUAAGGAGAAACUUUCUAUGGCAAGGCAGCUAUAAUUUAGUUAACUGGAAGACCGUAAUCCUUAGCAAAGAUAGAGGGGAGCUGGGAAUUAGAAACUUGAGAUUGUUAAAUGAAAGUCUGCUGAAAAAGUGGUUGUGAAGGUACACUAAGGAGGGAAGUGCUCUCUGGAAAGAGGUGAUUAAAGCUAUGUAUGGUGAAUUAAGCCCUUGGUGUACAGAGAACACAGUUGAACCUUAUGGUGUGGGAGUAUGGAGAACAAUCAGAAACCUGUGGCCCCAAAUGGAAGCAGAAUUGUUUAUCAAGGUGGGAAAUGGCAAUAAACUAGAUUUUGGAAGGAUAUUUGGAUAGAACAAUCCUCCCUUAGCGAUCUCUUCCCAGAUCUCUUUCAAAUCUCUGAGAAUCCUGAUGCUAAUGUAAAUGAUUGUUGGACAAAACAGGGAUGGAAUUUAGUUUUUAGAAGAUUUCUGAAUGAUUGGGAGGUGGAAAGGGUUGCAGAGUUGCUAGGGAAGUUAGGUGAAUGAGAAUAGACACAAAUGCCACAGACAGGGUGCUAUGGAGGCACAAAAAUGAUGGUCUUUACACAGUUAGCAGUGGGUACAGAAGAGGUCUCCAACUGAUGGCAGGAGAUCCAAACCAUCAAUGGAACUAUUUUUGGAAGGGGGACAUUCCUACAAAAGUGAAAUGUUUCACUUGGUAGUGAUAAAGAGGGUUUGUUUAACACAGGAAGUAUUACAGAAGAAGGGUAGACAAAUGGUUCCCAGAUGCUUUUUGUGCAAUUUGACAGGAGAAACAAACAAUCACCUUUUCUUGCACUGUAACUUUACCAAGCAAGUCUGGAAUUUAUUUCUUAGCAUUUCAAAUCUGAAUUGGACAAUGCCAGAACAUAAAUCAGAGUUGCUGAGAGCUGGGUAACGAGAGGAGGCAGCAAGAGCCAAAGGAGAUGGUGGAGGUUAAUACCAUCAUGUAUAUGGUGGUCAGUUUGGAAGGAAAGGAAUGGUAGAUGUUUUGAAAAUAGAUACAAUUCCAUUCACAAGGUCAAAUGGAAUUGUAUAGUAUCCUUACUUUUUUGGUGUAAACAGUUGUGUAUAGUAGAUACAGACCAGAUUAUAGAUUUGAUAGGAUGCUUGUAACUGACACUAAAUGGUGGAGACAAGCAUGCCCUUAAUGCUGAAGAAUACAAUCUUACCAGUUUCAAAAAAACAAAAAAAAAAAAGAAAUGAACCUUAGACCUAACACAGUCCCCAAAGCUAGUUCAUGAGAUGAGGAUUCCCCAAGAUCAUAAAAGGAGACAUAAUCCCAUCCCAAAGCUAUAUCAGACUCUUAGCACUCACACUCGCAGGAGUGGACAUUUGGAGCUUGGAUAAUACAACAUGAGUACCCGACAUCAGGUAAACGAAGAAUUGGAAUGGGUCUGGCUCGCCUAACUCAACCCUUUAAGUCAGCUAAUGAGGUAAGGAUUGCCCAAUACCGUAUAAAGAGGCAAACAUUCCAUUCCAUAUCAAUGUGGGACCCUAUCAAACAGUUUGUAUUAGCACAUAAUACACCUCCAGUAGUCUUAUCUCUGAAAGUUAUGAUGUUUAUCUACAUUUAUUGGUUUGCUAUUCCCAUCAUCCCAAAUAUGUGAGGGUGUUUUUAUAAAGACUUUGAAACUUGUGUAAAACAUGCCAGACAUUUAUGUGGGUAUAAAUCAUCUUAUUAAGGGUAAAAUGUUUUUUAAAAAGUUAAAUUGUAUCUAAAUAAUUGGUAGUAGAGGGUCAAACAAAAACUGGUGGGUGACCAUUCCAGCAUGUAUCUGGUGGACACUAUGGAAGUAAAGGAAUGCCAGAUGUUUUGAAGAGUAGCAACAUUCAGAGAUAAAGCAUCAGAGUCUUAGUUUGCUGUAUUUUUGGUGUUAACAAGAGUUGGGGAUAUAGUAGCACUAGUUGGCUUCAUACGUAACUUGUAAAGUUCUUCUAUUUUUGCAAUCCUACUUUUGGUGGGUGUUAGAUUCUUCCUCAUCAUUUCUUGGAUGAUGAGUUUUUUUGUGAAUACAAAGUUACCAUUGUCUCAAAAAAAAAA
Molecule: long non-coding RNA, 3104 nt
Organism: Solanum pennellii
Lineage: Eukaryota; Viridiplantae; Streptophyta; Magnoliopsida; Solanales; Solanaceae
Exons: 2
Source: RefSeq, a predicted model, not a curated record